GACGAACGCUGGCGGCGUGCUUAACACAUGCAAGUCGAACGGAAAGGCCCUGCUUUUGUGGGGUGAUCGAGUGGCGAACGGGUGAGUAACACGUGAGUAACCUGCCCUUGACUUUGGGAUAACUUCAGGAAACUGGGGCUAAUACCGGAUAGGAGCUCCUGCUGCAUGGUGGGGGUUGGAAAGUUUCGGCGGGUGGGGAUGGACUCGCGGCUUAUCAGCUUGUUGGUGGGGUAGUGGCUUACCAAGGCUUUGACGGGUAGCCGGCCUGAGAGGGUGACCGGCCACAUUGGGACUGAGAUACGGCCCAGACUCCUACGUGAGGCAGCAGUGGGGAAUAUUGCACAAUGGGCGGAAGCCUGAUGCGGCAACGCCGCGUGCGGGAUGACGGCCUUCGGGUUGUAAACCGCUUUCGCCUGUGACGAAGCGUGAGUGACGGUAAUGGGUAAAGAAGCACCGGCUAACUACGUG
This 468-nucleotide ribosomal RNA is filed under the name uncultured bacterium. Its description in RNAcentral is "partial 16S ribosomal RNA". It matches the Rfam family "Bacterial small subunit ribosomal RNA", at positions 28 to 507 of the family's 1533-position model. The record is from RNAcentral.